GACGAACGCUGGCGGCGUGCUUAACACAUGCAAGUCGAACGGAAAGGCCCUGCUUUUGUGGGGUGCUCGAGUGGCAAACGGGUGAGUAACACGUGAGUAACCUGCCCUUGACUUUGGGAUAACUUCAGGAAACUGGGGCUAAUACCGGAUAGGAGCUCCUGCUGCAUGGUGGGGGUGGGAAAGUUUCGGCGGUUGGGGAUGGACUCGCGGCUUAUCAGCUUGUUGGUGGGGUAGUGGCUUACCAAGGCUUUGACGGGUAGCCGGCCUGAGAGGGGGACCGGCCACAUUGGGACUGAGAUACGGCCCAGACUCCUACGGGAGGCAGCAGUGGGGAAUAUUGCACAAUGGGCGGAAGCCUGAUGCAGCAACGCCGCGUGCGGGAUGACGGCCUUCGGGUUGUAAACCGCUUUCGCCUGUGACGAAGCGUGAGUGACGGUAAUGGGUAAAGAAGCACCGGCUAACUACGUG
Molecule: ribosomal RNA, 468 nt
Filed under: uncultured bacterium
Lineage: Bacteria
Description: partial 16S ribosomal RNA
Rfam family: Bacterial small subunit ribosomal RNA
Source: RNAcentral